UAUCACUUAUGUCAGACUAUAUAAAUUAUAGUAUUAUUAUUUGCGUUUUUUUUCAUUAGUUAAGCGAGUAGAAGUAUAUAAUAUAAUUAAUAAAAUGUUACCUCGAAUACAAAAUAAAAAUACAUGAAAACGAAUGUUGGUAGGCGACCUGUGCAAUAACAGUAGAACGUGCCCACCUCAAGGCGGACAUACUUCUUUGACAUAACCUAAUGCUGUAACGUGGAUAUAUAUGAAAGUGCGUUAUAAACGGUUUAAAAACAAACACGACGUCAAAGACGAUGAUGCUGUUGACGGUGACAACAUGUAGAACGUCAGAGUUGUGGACGAGAACAUAGCCACAAUCAGGAUAGUACGUCGGUAGCUACUAUUCAAGCGUCAAAGAACAUACCUUACUUGCCGUUAGUAGUAAUACCAAAGCCUCUGUUGUACCCUAGUCUCUCUAGAAUUUUCAAGGACUUACGCAAAUGUGGUAGAUAACACUGAAGUGUACGACGUUGGGAUUUUGAGAUGAAAUAAUGAAACCCGAGAAUUCGGCGAUAAAUUACACAUUGAUUGGAUUAAAUUGACUAAACCUUAUUUUGAAGAUCCAGUUAUUUAUAAAAUUACCGAGAACAAUUUCUUUUUUUUACGGAAUCAUGAAUUUCCUGUGAUCAUAAUGAAGUUGUUGACAAGCAGGUUGAACUGUAAUGGAAUUCUGUAAACAACAAUCAAAUAUUAAGUUUUCAAAUAAAUAUAUAAUUUUUAAACAGUAAGAUUUGCAUAAUAAGUGUACUCUUAUACUACCCAAGUUGUAAAAAAAUGUUUUAUAAACGUAUGUAAACCGUCACAAUGCAUCUACUGUAACACAUAAUGCAAAUAAAAUAUUUAGAAACAUCAUUAAAAUA
This is a long non-coding RNA of Adelges cooleyi (spruce gall adelgid), 884 nucleotides long. RefSeq lists it as uncharacterized. NCBI's taxonomy places the organism in Eukaryota, Metazoa, Arthropoda, Insecta, Hemiptera, Adelgidae. The transcript is spliced from 3 exons. The record is from RefSeq and is a predicted model, not a curated record.